This 161-nucleotide small RNA is filed under the name human gut metagenome. RNAcentral's name for it is "Clostridiales-1 RNA". It matches the Rfam family "Clostridiales-1 RNA". The record is from RNAcentral.
GAUAUAAGGGUCAUAAGUACAAACCCUGUUCGUGCUUGCACGAAAAAGGGUUUGUAUUUAUGACCCGCCCACACAUGAGCAAGUAGUGAUUUUCCAUGGAAAAUCAACGGAUUGCGAAUGUGUGGAGAAUUGAUAAGCUGCAAAGCAGCGCAUCAAUUCGU